Molecule: transfer RNA, 64 nt
Filed under: Goniodes dissimilis (brown chicken louse)
Lineage: Eukaryota; Metazoa; Arthropoda; Insecta; Psocodea; Philopteridae
Description: tRNA-Arg
Source: RNAcentral
AACCUUGUGAGUAUGAGUGAGUAUGCCUAACUUCGACUUAGGGGGACCUAAAUGGACAAGGUUA